AAUCUUGGACAAUGGGGGAAACCCUGAUCCAGCCAUCCCGCGUGUAGGAUGUAGGACUUCGGGUUGUAAAGUACUUUUGGCAGAGAAGAAAAGUUAUCGCCUAAUACGAGAUACUGCUGACGGUAUCUGCAGAAUAAGCACCGGCUAAAUACGUGCCUGCAACCGCGGUAAUACUUAGGGUGCAAGCGUUAAUCGGAAUUAUUGAGCGAAAAGCGUGUAUAGGCAGUUCGGAAAAAAAGAUGUUAAAACCCAGGGCCCAACCCUGGAACUGCAUUUUUAACUGCCGAGCUAGAGUAUGUCAGAGGGGGGUAGGAUUCCACGUGUAGCAGUGAAAUGCGUAGAUAUGUGGAGGAAUACCGAUGGCGAAGGCAGCCCCCUGGGAUAAUACUGACGCUCAGACACGAAAGCGUGGGGAGCAAACAG
Molecule: ribosomal RNA, 423 nt
Filed under: uncultured bacterium
Lineage: Bacteria
Description: partial 16S ribosomal RNA
Rfam family: Bacterial small subunit ribosomal RNA
Source: RNAcentral